UCCAAAACAAACACAGCCCUGAUACACUGUGGCCGUACAUAAUUAACGUUUCGCAAACAAACUGUUGCUUACACAUAGCAGACAUAUUGUAGCCUGUGUCUGGCCAAGAGACUAAUGUAAGUCACUGUUUGUCUCCAUCAACUCCUGUGAAAAAUAUCUGGAGCUUUAGCUUGCUAACUGAUCAACUUUCUUCACCAGCUAGCUAGCUAGCAUUAACGCUACUCACCUUACUUAAUUGCUAGCUUUGUCUUUCUGCUGUUCGGUACUAACAGGUCUGGGUGCUAAUAGCCAGUAGCAUCCUUUUUGUUGUGAUGACCAUGCCCUUACUGAGCGGUAAGCUGAUCUGUUUUUGGAAGUGAUGGACUUAAUGGCUGCUCUUGACUGGCAACCUGGGCAAACAGACUGCAGGAGUAACAUCUUGCUGGGGACCGAGGCUACAAACACUGGAGAGAUUAUUCGCUUCUCCCUCAGAGUCCUUAAGGAGAGGAACAUUCCAGCCUCCAAGGUGAUCCAGGUGCAGCAGCCCUUCAUGGAGCGAAGGAUUUAUGCCAUCUUAGUGAGUCAGUGGCCUGACGCUCACACAUGCUGUCUUGACUUCACCUCAGUUAGGCAUCUUUGAAUACCCUCAUCCCAUUGUCAGCACAGCCUCUGAUCUCAUCUAUUGCAUGCUUGGUAGUAUCUAUCACUCAUCUUUUAAUGUUAUCACUGUCUGUGA
Long non-coding RNA from Siniperca chuatsi (mandarin fish), 715 nucleotides. RefSeq lists it as uncharacterized. The record is from RefSeq and is a predicted model, not a curated record. The transcript has 4 exons. Lineage: Eukaryota; Metazoa; Chordata; Actinopteri; Centrarchiformes; Sinipercidae.